CAUUCUUUGUGUGGUACUCUACUCCAGAGAGUGGCAAUCAUGUGUAAUUAGAUGUGAUUGACACCUCUAUGAGUGGAGUAACAUAUGACACAUGC
Molecule: microRNA precursor, 95 nt
Organism: Mustela putorius furo (domestic ferret)
Lineage: Eukaryota; Metazoa; Chordata; Mammalia; Carnivora; Mustelidae
Source: Ensembl